CAGAUCACAACUCACCUGAGUUCUUCUUCAUCAACUCUUCAUCAUCAACUCUUCUUCAUCAACUAUUCUUCAUCAACUCUUCUUCAUCAACUCUUCUUCAUCAACUCUUCUUCAUCAACUCUUCUUCAUCAACUCUUUGGACUGUUUGAAGAAACUAGACCAGAUCCUGCUGAACCUGAACCUGAACCCAGCUGUGUGUCCAUGAAGUCACCGGUCCAUGGAGACACCACUACUUUAAAAAACAAGGCGACCCGUAAUGGAGCUUAAAAUGAAAUAAGUGUGAAGGAGCAAAUUCGUGAAAUGGAGAGAAGACUGAGGACCCAGCAGAGACCUGAACCUGAACCUGAACCUGAUCAUGAUCCUGAACCUGAACCUGAACCUGAACCUGAACCUGAUCCUGAUCCUGAUAGUUUUUUGGAUUUUAAACGUGUUUCUGACAAAAAGUAAGUUAUUAGUAUUCAGUUGUUAAUAACUAUGUAUAUAGCCUGUUGU
Molecule: long non-coding RNA, 492 nt
Filed under: Sander lucioperca (pikeperch)
Lineage: Eukaryota; Metazoa; Chordata; Actinopteri; Perciformes; Percidae
Description: lncRNA (ENSSLUG00000003277.1)
Source: RNAcentral